This 209-nucleotide unclassified non-coding RNA is filed under the name soil metagenome. Its description in RNAcentral is "partial contains small subunit ribosomal RNA, internal transcribed spacer 1, and 5.8S ribosomal RNA". The record is from RNAcentral.
UCUCCGUUGGUGAACCAGCGGAGGGAUCAUUACCGAGUUUCUACUCUCAAACCCUUGCAAACCUACCUGUAACGAUGCUUCGGCGACCGGCCCUCGGGGGGGCGUCACAAACGGUCGCCGAUAGUAUUCAAAAAUCAAUUUUUUUCAGAGUCCUCUGAAUGACCUAAAAAAACAAAUCAAAACCUUCAACAACGGAUCUCUUGGUUCUG